RNAcentral lists this ribosomal RNA (230 nucleotides) under uncultured eukaryote. RNAcentral's name for it is "partial small subunit ribosomal RNA". It matches the Rfam family "Eukaryotic small subunit ribosomal RNA", at positions 1208 to 1456 of the family's 1831-position model. The record is from RNAcentral.
GGAAAACUUACCAGGUCCGGACAUAGUGAGGAUUGACAGAUUGAAGAUCUUUCUUGAUUCUAUGGGGGGUGGUGCAUGGCCGUUCUUAGUUGGUGGAGUGAUUUGUCUGGUUAAUUCCGUUAACGAACGAGACCUCGACCUGCUAAAUAGUUCGGCAAAUUCUUCGGGAUUUGUACGUGACUUCUUAGAGGGACUAUCGGUGGUUAGCCGAUGGAAGUUCGAGGCAAUAA